This 588-nucleotide ribosomal RNA is filed under the name uncultured bacterium. RNAcentral's name for it is "bacterial SSU rRNA". It matches the Rfam family "Bacterial small subunit ribosomal RNA", at positions 331 to 929 of the family's 1533-position model. The record is from RNAcentral.
CCAGACUCCUACGGGAGGCAGCAGUGGGGAAUAUUGGACAAUGGGCGCAAGCCUGAUGCAGCGACGCCGCGUGGGGGAUGACGGCCUUCGGGUUGUAAACUCCUUUCGUCAGGGACGAAGCGAAAGUGACGGUACCUGGAUAAGAAGCACCGGCUAACUACGUGCCAGCAGCCGCGGUAAUACGUAGGGUGCGAGCGUUGUCCGGAAUUACUGGGCGUAAAGAGCUCGUAGGUGGUUUGUCGCGUCGUUUGUGUAAGUCCACGGCUUAACUGUGGGAUGGCAGGCGAUACGGGCAUAACUUGAGUGCUGUAGGGGAGACUGGAAUUCCUGGUGUAGCGGUGAAAUGCGCAGAUAUCAGGAGGAACACCGAUGGCGAAGGCAGGUCUCUGGGCAGUAACUGACGCUGAGGAGCGAAAGCAUGGGUAGCGAACAGGAUUAGAUACCCUGGUAGUCCAUGCCGUAAACGGUGGGCGCUAGGUGUGAGUCCCUUACACGGGGUUCGUGCCGUAGCUAACGCAUUAAGCGCCCCGCCUGGGGAGUACGGCCGCAAGGCUAAAACUCAAAGGAAUUGACGGGGGCCCGCACAAG